CCAUGUCUCUCUCUCUCUCUCUCUCUGUUUAACAGUUGAAACUUGAAGAAAAGGUUCAAUAAAACAUUACUUUUCAUCAUUUUUUCCAUUCUUUAAUUUUCACCACAAAGCUGACAUGUUUUAAGAGGUGCAACCUAAUAUUGCCUGAACUCCAGGACCCACCACAAAGAUCUCUGGGUAACAGCAAGGGGAGGAAGUGCACGGACAGGAAGACGGGCGUGUAUGGAAAAGCACACUCCACUUGGCUGCAGCAGCACUCCCUUAAGUAACAACAUAUGGCAGCGGAGGAAUUCUUCUGAUUGACGGUCGCAUGAACGUCACCCUGUCGCUGUGGACACGUCCAUGUUGGAGGACUGAUAAGACUAGCCGUACCUAAUUCCUUUCCAUGUUCUCAUCUUGGAGUAGGCAUCACAAUGGGUAUGAUUCAUGGGGUAAUUCUGACAGCUACUGACUUGGCUCCCGCUCACAUUUGGGAAGAAUGUGACCUCACAAUACUGUUCUUUCAAAGGCCUAUCCCUGUCUGUUCUUCUCCCAGACCCGGCCUGAAGCACGCCUCUGUUCCUGAAGAGAGGGAAGUGGGGAGAAAUCGAGGGAUAGAAAUAGUGGAGAAAGUGAAAAUGUGUGUGUGUCUUUCCCAAAUUGCCAGCAAGCAUGGACAGCAUUAUUGUUCUCGCUCACUGACUGUAUAUGACAAAGGUCUACAUAUAACAGACCUCAUCUGUACAGCUGCAUCCCAAAUCAGAAAUAACCAUUACAAUUAAGAGAAUAGUGUUUGUGCAAAAUCUAUAAUUUAAGAAUUGGGGCUUUGAAUUGAAGUGUGAUUAUAUAUUUGUAGUUGAAUUUAAAUAUUUUGACCCUGUAAAUUAGCCAUAUACAAACCAUAAAAUAGCCAGUCUCUAAACAUUGGUCUCAAUCUCAGUCAUAAAUUCAUAGUUUGUAGAGAGCCCCAGCACUGGAUCUUCACAUCCAGUUGAAGUCAUGGAGCGUCUGCUAAUGGUCUGAGUUGAAUCAAGCGUAUUCAAUAUCACAGCCAAAUAGGGCACAAUGUACUGUUCAUAUUAAGGAAUUGUCCGUAUUAAUUUCUCCAUAUUCUCAAUAUUCCAUAUUGAUUUUUGUGUGAGAGAAAGAGAGAAGGCAAGAGGAGAAGAGAUGCUGUUGACUUUGCUCAUCAUGGGCCACCAACCUACUCACCACAAGCCUUCACUGAUGACCUGAGCAACAAGGAUGCCUGCAGCCAUGAGUUGCUAAAGGAAGAGUUGAGGCUACUACCGCUGAGCAGUAAGAUAAGCAUGUUAACACACCAAAAGAAACCUGCCACUAGGUCCUGUAGUUUGGGCGAUACGGCGCAACAAAGUCAUACCUUUCACUCCACAUGUCAAGAAAGAGAUGAAAUCCUUGAAGAUGAGGAAUCCCCACGCCAAAGGAGGAUAACUGUUGCAUCAUACAUUCCGCAGUCCAAAGACCAUACUGGAAAAAGUGUAGUGAAGUCGAAUUCUAAUGGGUAUAGAGCCAAAUCUUUAGCAGAGCUGAACACAGAGGAGGUUUGCCAGUGGUUUAGUAAUAUUGGUCUACAGAAAUGCCUGCCCUUCAUUAGAGAGGCAGAGUUCAGUGGGUCCCACAUCGCUUCUAUUGAUCUCAACACCCUCGAAAUCCUUCAAGUGUCCAAUCUGGAGGAAAGAGAGAGGCUGCUGUCUGCCAUUUACCAUGAGUUACACCCGCCAAACUCCACCACCCAAAGACUCGACUCCCUCCUUGAAAGAUUUGGUCCACACAAUGUUGAGAAAUUCACAGCAGCUUUGGUUUCCAUGACCAAGUCAAAAUCUUCUCCUCAAGUUAGCAGCAUCAACAUGAACCAAUGUUCAUUCAAAUUCAGACAGAAAGAACAAAAUGCAAAAAUUCAGAAGAACUCGCAUCUCAUUGAAAUCACAGUCAAUGUGUCAGAUCGAACAGUUCAUUUAAGGACCCCCAAAGAGACAAGUGUGGGAAAAGUGGUGGAGUCCUGUCUGAGGAUGCUGGGAAUUAAUGAAGACAAAGAUCACUUCAACCUAAAAAGCAGUGAAGAUGAGUUCUCCCCUGAGCAGCAGAUUGGAGAUUUGCCUGGCUCAGAGACGAGACUAAUGGAGCUUCACUUAUAUAGGAAGGAAACACAGAAAGUGGGUCCUUAUUCAUCAGAUAACAACAUUAUUAGUACCACUGACAAUAUUCCGUGCAAAAAUCUGCUAAACAACACUGGGAAGAUUCAAAAGCUAAAUCAACAGGUGGCCUCCCUUCAAAACGUCAUCAUACAGGUUCAGGAGCUUUACCAUGGUCUGGUAGCCUUCUGUUCAGAGCUGAAGAAGAUGGAGGGGGAGAUGGAUGCAGUGCAAACAGACAGCUUUGAAGUGAAGAGGCUUCUCAGUGAGGCCCAGGACAAUCUGCAAAGGAAAAGACAGAGUCUUCAAACGCUCAGGGACAAUCUUAACACUGCACCAGUGCAGAAGAAUAAGCCAUCAGAGGUCCGACUUCUGGAGAAGAUGAGGCUAAACUGCCAGGUGUUUAAAGACGAGAUCACACUAGUCCACCUCAAUCGACAGGUGGCUCACCUGCGUGAAGUUCUGGAGAAGACACAGGCCAAGGAGAAAGCCAAGAGGAAGAGCCCUACUCUGACUCAGCUGGUCUCUUUGCAGUCUCCUGUCAUGCUGGUGGCCACCCAAGUGAAAGCAGACCCAGACGGUCAUUACGGUUUCUCUGCGCACUGGGUAGAGGGCCAGGGCCUGAUGGUGGUACAUAGUGAGGGUGCUAAUCUCUGCCUGAAUGACAGGCUGGUGGAGGUUAACGGAGUGGACGUCUUGGGGAGCAGUGAGGAUGAGUUGGAGCUGAUGCUUAAGACACACACUGCCCACAUUGUUGUUCUUCGCCAGCUGGCCCAAGAACUUCCACAGGAAGACCCAUCUGCCCCCACUUCAGACAGAUUUCUGCUCUGAGGGAUCAACAGGACAUACAAAUGCUGCAGAAACAUCAAGCAAUGUAAACCAACUAAACACUGUCCAGAUUAAUACUUUCUUUCCUGUCUUACUGGAGGAACACACUCAGACACACCUGAAUUGGUCAUAUCUUAUGUUUUAUCCCACUUAUUACUAUAAUGACAUUUGUCUUGUAAGAGAAGAGGAUUAUAUGUUCACCCUGCAUUACAGUCUCUGGGUCAUUUCAGGGCAGUUUCAUUUUUGGGUGUUUUUGGGUUUAUACAAAUGUAAUAGCCAUAGUCUCAAUUAAUGGGUGGGUCAGUCAAAAACUGCUCAUAAAAAUGGCAAUUUUUGGCAAAAUGGGCAUUUUGAAUUCUAAAUUGCAUUGAACCAUGAAGGUCAAGUUGGCAAAAUAACUUUCACUUUGUACACUUUUUUAAAAAGCAGCUGUGGUGAAAUAGGAGGCAAGGAAACUUCCUGUAAGACUGACAUUAAUAAAAAUACAGAUAUCAAAGCAAAACUUCUUUUUUAAAUGGGUAAAUAUUUAUUUUUUAUUUAUUAUUACAAAGAUUGACUCAAGGAGCGUCAUGAAGUGAUGUAGUGAAAGUCCUAACCACAUGAUUGUAUUAAG
Molecule: long non-coding RNA, 3573 nt
Organism: Cyprinus carpio carpio
Lineage: Eukaryota; Metazoa; Chordata; Actinopteri; Cypriniformes; Cyprinidae
Source: Ensembl